RNAcentral lists this long non-coding RNA (2128 nucleotides) under Nicotiana tabacum (common tobacco). Its description in RNAcentral is "long non-coding RNA (NTAB_LNC008764)". Lineage: Eukaryota; Viridiplantae; Streptophyta; Magnoliopsida; Solanales; Solanaceae. The record is from RNAcentral.
UAGGUUUAAAAAACCUGGGUUUAUUUGUUCUAGACCUGGCUUACCCGAGCGGACAAGUCGAGCCGAGGGGGGGCAGCGUACCGGUAACCAAAAGAUCAUCCGGCUUUGUAACUUGUCCGAACCUCAUUCUAAAUUGGGAUAUGACACUAACAGAAAGAAGUUACGCCAGCGUGCACUCCUCAGAAAAUAGAAGAGAGGGGUUUCGUAGCAGUUUAUAUAUACAGUUCAGAUAAUAUCAAAGCGGUAAAAAGCAACAUUUAGCACAUUAAGCCCAAACAUGUAGAUAAAAUCAGACAAUAAAUAAAGCCAAAUAUAACAAUUAUUCUAAGCUCGAAUUCGAACCCUGAACCAAAGAUUCUGGGUUCUUUUCCCCAGCAGAGUCGCCAGAGCUGUCACACCUCCUAUUUCCUACACCCCGGAAGAGUAUAAGGGAGUUUUUUCCAAUUUUAAGUGACAAUUGAAACGAGAUUAUUUUAUUUAAAAUUAAGAGUUUCCACUUGGGAUAAUUUAUGGUAUCCCAAGUCACCGGUUUCAAAUCCCGAAUCGAGGAAAGAUUGACUUUGUAUUACAGUCCGCAAACACAAAAAUCCGGAUAAGGAAUUCUGUUAACUCGGGAGAAAUUGUAAGGCAUUCUCGAAUUCCGUGGUUCUAGCACGGUCGCUCAACUGUUAUAUUUGGCCUAUUUACUUUUAAUACAUGUUUUAGCAUAUGGUUCAAUUUUAACUUUAUAACCGCUUUAUUUAAUCAUUUUUAAGGAAGAUUGCAAUGUCAUUUAAAAUACAUCUUGCACCACGUCACAUAAAUGCACCCGCGGUCCUCGACAUAUUUUACCUAACAUUGUUGAGAUUUGGAUUUGGGUCACAUAAAUGCGCACCCAAGUUUAGGAAGGUAAUUUUAAGUAUCGCGCCUAAAGCAACUACGCACUUUCAAGUUUGCGAGGGCCAUGGAAAAUUCACUAAUGGAACACCUCGAUUUCUAAGGGUUCAAGCAUUAAUUAAGUGAGGGUCAUGCAUUUUUGAGGUUUUAUUUGGCACGGUGCACCUCAAUACAAUUUAAAGAAAAUUCGAAACUAAACUUUGAGGGCCAUAAAUUGUACAUUUGGCUUAAUACGGCACACCCCCAAAUUAUUAAAAUAAGGGAAUUAUAUUCAACUAAAGCGAAUUACGGGGUUCAUGCUUAAUCUAAAUCAAAAUCAGUCUCGAGUCCAUCAAUUCUUGAUUUUAACAUCACUACUCCGACCUGAAGCAGCAAAAUUGGAUGUUAAUGGGAUUAAAAUAUCCUAAAAAUAAGUAAACAUAAGCAAAUUCCAAAACUAGAUACUAGUCUUCAAAAUCUCUAUUCCUGCAAUAAUUGCUUAAGCCAACCUGACAGUAACUAACUUAAAUUUUGUAACCCCUGCUCUUUCUUCUUUAUUUGUUAAUCCACUCUAUUAGUCUAACUAAUCACUUCACAAUACAAAAAAUAACACAUUAAAUUAUUUAGUAAACUAAUUACAAUUAAACCAAAUAAACCAAAAUAUCUAAGGCAUUUAUGGGAGAUUGGGCAGAGAAGUAGAUUAAGACUCUUAAGUAGAAGAAAGAAAUUAAAGUAAAAACAAAUGAAGAAUAACAAAAGUAUCAAACAGACUCACCAAAACUUGAGCGAACACCAUAUAAACCGGAAUGAAAUGGGAAGAUUGACAUUUAUAUUGACAAAUUUGGCUUGAAUAUUACACUCCCAAGGUGAACGAAGCGUAGGAGUCUGACCAACGACCGGAGCUCGGAAUCUCGUUGGCGACCUCAAACUCGACUGAAGUUUUGGUUCUGUUUCACGAUGGAAUUAGCAACAAUCUGAGCUACUAUUUUGGGGUUAAAGAGUGAUGACAACUAUGAUUUUAGUAAUUGAUUUUGCGGGUUUAAGAGGAGCUAUUUCUCGACUGAUUUUGUCAGGUUUGAGGGGUUAUUUCACGGUCAAUUUUCAGCUUAUUCCAGACAAUUUUUGGGGCUGUUCUGUGUUGUUUUUCGCUGGAAGCUUCGUGAAGAAGAUGAAGUUUUGGAGGGGUCGGGGGGUUGUGUUCUUCUCAACGGCGGAUUUCAAUGUAUUUUUUAGGUGUAUUUUUUAGGCGUCCUUUAUUUUAGGUGUUAGAUAC